Molecule: long non-coding RNA, 499 nt
Organism: Engraulis encrasicolus (European anchovy)
Lineage: Eukaryota; Metazoa; Chordata; Actinopteri; Clupeiformes; Engraulidae
Exons: 4
Source: RefSeq, a predicted model, not a curated record
CUGCUGUACAAUUUUCUCCUCUCAUUUUCAGAUGAAAAGUGCUACACAGUUCUCACACAUCUUCUGACUCCGAAGCCGCUGCAGUGUAAAAUCUGAGAUGUCUUUUCUGGUUGAUUUUGUGCAGAUUUCUGACAGUGACAGCGAUGGUGAGGGAAGCAGUGUACCGAACUCUCAGAUGACUCGGACCAGGUGACCAAACCCAUGCAAAGCACAAUGACUGUGCUGAGGCGUUCCGCCCCCCUCCCCCUCCACACCACUCAAGGCACGGCGGCGGCCCAACCGCAAACUAACGGAGAUUAACAUGAGGCUGGAUGCGCUUGGCUCCCUGCUGCGUCCAUCACCAGAGGGGCCGGGAUUGCUGCGGCAGCUAGCCAAUUAAAGGAGGAGGAUGAAGGAGAGGAGUCUGACGAUGCAGACAUCGCCAUCGUAUGCAGUCCACGCCCUCGCAGGAAAACCAGCCAAUGAAAACGCUUGCAGCAGCAUCAGCAGAACACACCGG